RNAcentral lists this ribosomal RNA (333 nucleotides) under uncultured bacterium. RNAcentral's name for it is "bacterial SSU rRNA". It matches the Rfam family "Bacterial small subunit ribosomal RNA", at positions 460 to 793 of the family's 1533-position model. The record is from RNAcentral.
CAUAUUCAUUUGACGUUAGCUGCAGAAGAAGCACCGGCUAACUCCGUGCCAGCAGCCGCGGUAAUACGGAGGGUGCGAGCGUUAAUCGGAAUUACUGGGCGUAAAGCGCAUGCAGGUGGUUUGUUAAGUCAGAUGUGAAAGCCCGGGGCUCAACCUCGGAAUUGCAUUUGAAACUGGCAAACUAGAGUACUGUAGAGGGGGUAGAAUUUCAGGUGUAGCGGUGAAAUGCGUAGAGAUCUGAAGGAAUACCGGUGGCGAAGGCGGCCCCCUGGACAGAUACUGACACUCAGAUGCGAAAGCGUGGGGAGCAAACAGGAUUAGAUACCCUGGUAG